This 253-nucleotide ribosomal RNA is filed under the name uncultured bacterium. RNAcentral's name for it is "partial 16S ribosomal RNA". It matches the Rfam family "Bacterial small subunit ribosomal RNA", at positions 524 to 776 of the family's 1533-position model. The record is from RNAcentral.
UACGUAGGGUGCGAGCGUUAAUCGGAAUUACUGGGCGUAAAGUGUGUGCAGGUGGCCGCGCAAGUCGAGUGUGAAAUCCCCGAGCUUAACUUGGGAAUUGCGCUCGAAACUACGUGGCUCGAGUGUGGCAGAGGAAGGUGGAAUUCCACGUGUAGCGGUGAAAUGCGUAGAGAUGUGGAGGAACACCGAUGGCGAAGGCAGCCUUCUGGGCCAACACUGACGCUCAUGCACGAAAGCGUGGGGAGCAAACAGG